UACGGGGGGGGCAAGCGUUGUUCGGAAUUACUGGGCGUAAAGGGCUCGUAGGCGGCGAUCUCAGUCAGACGUGAAAUCCCCCGGCUUAACUGGGGAACUGCGUCUGAUACUAGAUGGCUUGAAUCCGGGAGAGGGAUGUGGAAUUCCAGGUGUAGCGGUGAAAUGCGUAGAUAUCUGGAGGAACACCGGUGGCGAAGGCGGCAUCCUGGACCGGUAUUGACGCUGAGGAGCGAAAGCCAGGGGAGCAAACGGG
This 253-nucleotide ribosomal RNA is filed under the name uncultured bacterium. Its description in RNAcentral is "partial 16S ribosomal RNA". It matches the Rfam family "Bacterial small subunit ribosomal RNA", at positions 524 to 776 of the family's 1533-position model. The record is from RNAcentral.